GGAUUAGAUACCCUGGUAGUCCACGCCGUAAACGAUGAUCACUAGACAUUGGCGACAUACUGUCGGUGUCAAAGCGAAAGUAUUAAGUGAUCCACCUGGGGAGUACGCCGGCAACGGUGAAACUCAAAGGAAUUGACGGGGGCCCGCACAAGCGGUGGAGCAUGUGGUUUAAUUCGAUGAUACGCGAGGAACCUUACCUGGGCUUAAAUGCAGAACGACAGGCUGGGAAACCAACCCUUCUUCGGACGGACUGCAAGGUGCUGCAUGGUUGUCGUCAGCUCGUGCUG
RNAcentral lists this ribosomal RNA (287 nucleotides) under uncultured bacterium. Its description in RNAcentral is "partial 16S ribosomal RNA". It matches the Rfam family "Bacterial small subunit ribosomal RNA", at positions 775 to 1067 of the family's 1533-position model. The record is from RNAcentral.